CCAUUUCCGUCGGACGCCAUUUACAGUGAAGACGUAAAAAGUGCUUGUUCAGCGUUUAUUUUAAUUAAUUUAGUGAAGAAAAAAAAAACAGAAAAAUGGAAACAAAAGCAGAAAGUGCAACGCUGCCACCACCGCAGCCACAAAGAAUCACCGCAAACAAUAUGAAACAGCAGCAAGGCAACAAAAAUGCUGGUGGACCCAAUGGUGUCGCCAGCCAAGGAAAACCUUUGGUUAAGGCCGAACCAGCCACGCCAAUGGAUCAGUCGUUCAGUCAAAAUGAAGAUCGUAAGCCCUUCAACCAGAAUCAUGGAAAUAACCAAGGGGGAAAUCGUCAAAACUUUGGUGGACGAGGACGUGGAAUGGGCAAUCGUAACUUUGGCGGAGGACGUGGUGGCCCCGGUGGCGGAAAUAAUCGCAAUUUCCAGCAGAAUCGCAAUCAGAACCAAAAUCAAGAUGCGGACGGUGGUCAAGGCGACAACAAUCAGAGUAGUCGCGGUAACAACCAGGGUGACAACCGUGGCGAUCGUAUGCAUCACAAGGGACAAAAUCGCGGAAUGCGCAAUGGCGGCGGUGAAGAUUUCAUGAUCAAUCAGAAAUUGAGCCAUAUGCAAGGUCCGACACACGACAUUCCAUCGAUCGAACAUCAAGAAGUGAAAUUUUCCGGACGUAAUCGGCUGUACAUCGGCAAUUUGACCAGUGAUAUCACCGAAGAGGAACUGAAAGAUCUCUUUACGCCGUACGGUGAAACGAGCGAAGCGUUUUUGAAUGCGGAAAAAUUCUUUGCAUUCAUCAAAGUGGAUUUCCGUGCCAAUGCUGAAAAGGCUAAACGUGAACUGGAUGGUUUCGUGCGCAAAAGUCGUGCGCUUCGUGUUCGAUUCGCACCAAAUGCGACAACCAUUCGGGUUAAGAAUCUGACACCGUUCGUCACGAACGAACUAUUGCACAAAUCGUUUGAAAUAUUUGGACAAGUCGAACGAGCCGUGAUUGUAGUCGAUGAUCGAGGAAAGCCAACCGGUGAAGGUAUCGUUGAAUUCACUCGUAAAUCGGGUGCCAUGGCCGCUAUCCGCUAUUGCACAGAUAAAUGUUUCUUCUUGACGUCAUCGCUGCGUCCGUGUGUGUGUGAGCUAUUUGAACACAGUGACGAUACUGACGGCUAUCCGGAAAAGACCAUCACCAAGAAAAAUCAAGAUUUCAUGAGCGCUCGUUCUUGUGGACCACGAUUCGCCGAACAGGGUUCGUUUGAACACGAAUAUGGUACAAGAUGGAAGCAGUUGCAUGAUUUGUACAAACAGAAACACGACGCCCUCAAGAAUGAAAUGAAAAUGGAGGAAGAGAAACUGGAAGCUCAAAUGGAAUACGCACGCUACGAACACGAGACCGAAAUGCUAAGAAAUCAACUACGCCAGAGAGAACAGGACCGAGACCAGCGCAAAACAAACUGGGAAAUGAAAGAGAAAUUCGCCGAUGAGCAACGAAUGAAAAACGAGGAACAAAUGCGUCGUGCCCAAGAGGAAAUGUCAAUGAGAAUGUCGAAACAAGAGGAGGAAUUGAGACGACGACAACAGGAAAACACAUUGUUCAUGCAGGCUCAACAGUUAAAUUCGUUGCUGGACGCUCAAGAGAAUCAACAAGGCUCGGGUAAUAUCGGAAAUCUCGGUAACAUGGGCAACAAUAUCGGUAACAAUCUUGGCGGCGGUGGCGGUGGUGGAAACAACAAUAUGAGGAAAAACUUCGACGGUCCACGACAGAAUCAAAACUUCCAAGGCGGAAUGGGCGGCGGCAAUAUGGUUACAAGUCGGCUUGAAUGAAAAAAAAAGUUUCUUUGCUGCGAUGACAUCGAAUCAAUAUAAGUGAUCGAAGAAGAUGAAGUCAAUGGCAUUUUACUGGGCAAGAUAUGAAUCAGAAUGAUUUAAGGAGUGAGAUCUCUAUGGUUCGAUCGGGGAUAUAAAAGCGCCAAGCACACCACAAGACCAUCCAUAUUCCACUCUACUCUUUGAGUGCAUCUAAUUGGCCAUCCGCAAAAACGAGACAUACUACGAUGAUCCUACGAAUGAGCAGAAAAUAAUUCAAAAGUUUCUGUUUAACAUGACAAGACGAUUCCAUAAGAAAAACAAACUCCAAGCGGAAGUGCAAUUCGGAUUGAAUGAACAAUACGCGCUGCAACGCAACCGUUUUUCGGAUAGAGUUGCUCUGUGAUCCAUUCGGAUAUAUUUCAUCUCAACAUGACAGAAGGUUGUAACGGCUGAAUUUUGACAUUGAUAGAGGAAUUCGGAUGCUCAACAGCCUUGGAUUUUUUACUGCUGGACUGGACUGUGUACAACGGUGGAAACAAGUUGAUCAGGUUUGAGUAUUUAUCACAGUAGCACAAUCUACCGUUUCC
Molecule: RNA transcript, 2380 nt
Organism: Bradysia coprophila
Lineage: Eukaryota; Metazoa; Arthropoda; Insecta; Diptera; Sciaridae
Gene name: hrp65 protein-like
Source: RefSeq, a predicted model, not a curated record